This 253-nucleotide ribosomal RNA is filed under the name uncultured bacterium. RNAcentral's name for it is "partial 16S ribosomal RNA". It matches the Rfam family "Bacterial small subunit ribosomal RNA", at positions 524 to 776 of the family's 1533-position model. The record is from RNAcentral.
UACGAAGGGGGCUAGCGUUGCUCGGAAUCACUGGGCGUAAAGCGCACGUAGGCGGAUUGUUAAGUCAGGGGUGAAAUCCUGGAGCUCAACUCCAGAACUGCCUUUGAUACUGGCGAUCUUGAGUCCGGGAGAGGUGAGUGGAACUGCGAGUGUAGAGGUGAAAUUCGUAGAUAUUCGCAAGAACACCAGUGGCGAAGGCGGCUCACUGGCCCGGUACUGACGCUGAGGUGCGAAAGCGUGGUGAGCAAACAGG